RNAcentral lists this ribosomal RNA (496 nucleotides) under uncultured bacterium. RNAcentral describes it as "bacterial SSU rRNA". It matches the Rfam family "Bacterial small subunit ribosomal RNA", at positions 28 to 521 of the family's 1533-position model. The record is from RNAcentral.
GAUGAACGCUAGCGGCAGGCUUAACACAUGCAAGUCGAGGGGCAGCACGUCUUCGGAUGGUGGCGACCGGCGCACGGGUGCGUAACGCGUAUACAAUCUACCUUUUACAGGGGCAUAGCCCGGGGAAACCCGGAUUAAUAUCCCAUGGUAUCAUUUAGUGGCAUCACUUGAAUGAUUAAAGUUUCGGCGGUAAAAGAUGAGUAUGCGUUCUAUUAGCUAGAUGGUAAGGUAACGGCUUACCAUGGCUACGAUAGAUAGGGGUCCUGAGAGGGAGAUCCCCCACACUGGUACUGAGACACGGACCAGACUCCUACGGGAGGCAGCAGUGAGGAAUAUUGGACAAUGGGCGAAGAGCCUGAUCCAGCCAUGCCGCGUGCAGGAAGACUGCCCUGUGGGUUGUAAACUGCUUUUAUACGGGAAGAAACACCUCCACGUGUGGAGGCUUGACGGUACCGUAUGAAUAAGGAUCGGCUAACUCCGUGCCAGCAGCCGCGGU